Molecule: RNA transcript, 2276 nt
Organism: Eriocheir sinensis (Chinese mitten crab)
Lineage: Eukaryota; Metazoa; Arthropoda; Malacostraca; Decapoda; Varunidae
Gene name: FAD-dependent oxidoreductase domain-containing protein 1-like
Exons: 15
Source: RefSeq, a predicted model, not a curated record
ACGUAAUAAAGACAUCUGAGGAUUCUAUGAGACCCUGUGAAGUAACAACACACUUCAGAAGCACUUUGAAAAUCCAGAAGGAUGCUGUCUACUUGCCAUCCCUCUCUUGGUCUGUGUUCAGUGCUUAAACCUUGUAAGGUUGGCAGUGGCAGAGUGGUCAACUCAAGGACAUGGUGAUUCUGGAGACCCGGGUUCAAAUUCUGCUGCAACUAAUUGGCAAUUUUCAACCAUCACUAUACUGGACAUCUGCUAUCCAGAUGUCCAUCAAUCCACUCUAACUUCUAUUACUUUAGUCCCAGAGGAGCACCUGACGGCAACAUGAGCCAAGCAAGCGUCAUCCUCUCGUGGCAACCAGCGCUUCAUCUUCAAGGCCGUAUCUUUCUGCAGUUUAUCAGUGGCAAUGGAUGCAAGGCCGCUGCCCCGCCCGCCGCCGAGAUGCGCACUGACGGUCUGGUUCUCAGGAGUGGCUGCAGGAGAUGAUCCGGACCGCCGCCUCGCUCCUCGCGCCGCACAGAGCGCGGCCCGGCGUGGGAUGUCCCUUGCGGCGCCUGGCCAGCGCGCCCCCGUCAGCCUGGCCUCGCUCCUGUGACGUGCUGGUGGUGGGGGGCGGCGCCGUGGGGUCCUCGUCAGCUUAUCACCUGAAGCAGAGAGCGGGAGGCGAGCUUAGUGUGGCGGUGCUCGAACCUGACCCAGCGUACACGAAGGCCUCCACCGUCCUCUCCUGCGGCAAUAUUAGACAACAGUUCAGCGUGGCGGAGAACAUCCAGCUCUCAAUGUCCAGCUUCAAGUUCCUCCGCCGGGCCAAUGAGCUCCUCGCGGUGGAUGGCCAGGAGCCCCCCGACGUCGGCUUCAUCCCUUGUGGCUACUUGUUCCUCGCCACGCCGGAGGGACUCGAGCAGAUGAAGGAGAACUACGAACUGCAGACAUCGCUCGGGGCGGAGGUGGCGUGGCUGUGGCCGAGACAGCUGAGGCAGAGGUACCCGUGGCUCGCCUUUGGGAAGAACGUGGCGGCAGGGGUCGUGGGCACCAACAAUGAAGGACGGUUUGACCCGUGGACCCUCUUGUUGGGGCUGCGGCGGAAGGCUGAGUCCCUGGGCGCUGUGUACCUUCCUGCCAGGCUGACGGGGCUCCAGUACCGCUCCCAGGAACACGACGGAAGGGACACGGCCGCUCCUGACGCCGCCCCUGCCAGGACACUAACGACAGCCAUGGUCAGGCUGCGGGACGGAGAGGAGCGGGAGAUCUCGUUCUCGACGCUGGUGGUGGCCGCGGGGGCGUGGUCUGGAGAGGUGGGCCGCCUGGCGGGCCUGGGCACCGGCGAGGGGGCCCUGGCCACGCCCAUACCUGUGGAGCCCAGAAAACGUUACUUCUACCACGUGCACGCACCCGACGGCCCCUGGGAGGGUUGCCCCGUCUUCAACGACUACACGGGGAUGACCUUCAUGCCUGAUCCGCGGCCGCAGCACUUCGUGGCCGGACGGUCGCCGCGGGAGGAGGAGGAGCCAGACGCGGGGGACCUUGAGGUGGACUACGACUUCUUCGACACUCACGUCUGGCCCUUGAUGGCGGAGAGAAGCCCGUCGUUUGGGAACCUGAAGGUUAAGAGUGCUUGGGCUGGCUACUACGACUACAACGCCCUCGACCAGAACUUAAUCAUCGGCUUCCACCCCGUGUAUACCAACAUGUGCCUGGCUACGGGAAUGAGCGGACACGGCAUCCAGCAGUCCCCCGCCAUAGGUCGCGCCGUGAUGGAGUGCGUGGCGGACGGGCGCUCACACUCCAUCAAUCUAGACAGGUUCGGCUUCGGCAGGAUCCUCAACCGCCAACCCUUGAAGGAGAAGCUUGUCAUGUGAGGGUUUGCAGCGCCCAGCUGUCCCUCUCCUUCAUAAGACGCCCCGUGAACAGCGCCACUCGCUCAUACUUGCUGCCGCGCUGGUGUUCAAGAGCAUCUCAGAAACGACAUACAGUGACCUCACGUGUGGAGAAUGAGAAACCAAGGACAGUGACAAGAGAACAGCAAAACAGGACACCAGCCUUCAAUCACCGUUACACAGCAUUACCCAACACUUAACAGGCAGCAUCGGCAUCUCAAGAGUUAAGGAACCCCAUCAUCCCCCGCACCCCCUCAACGAUGCCCGUUAUGGAGGCUUGUAAAUGUGACGGCACAGCUCCAUUAAGACACCAAUAUCAAGAUGGGACGAGGAGAAUUCUGAUAAUGUCAAUGCAAGUAAUUAAACUGAAUGAAAAUAUAAAUAAAGGGAAACCGCGAAACCACA